This 301-nucleotide ribosomal RNA is filed under the name uncultured bacterium. Its description in RNAcentral is "partial 16S ribosomal RNA". It matches the Rfam family "Bacterial small subunit ribosomal RNA", at positions 509 to 807 of the family's 1533-position model. The record is from RNAcentral.
CAGUAGCCGCGGUAAUACGUAGGUGGCAAGCGUUGUCCGGAAUUAUUGGGCGUAAAGCGCGCGCAGGUGGUUUAAUAAGUCUGAUGUGAAAGCCCACGGCACAGCCGUGGAGGGUCAUUGGAAACUGUUAAACUUGAGUGCUGGAGAGAAAAGUGGAAUUCCUAGUGUAGCGGUGAAAUGCGUAGAGAUUAGGAGGAACACCAGUGGCGAAGGCGGCUUUUUGGCCUGUAACUGACACUGAGGCGCGAAAGCGUGGGGAGCAAACAGGAUUAGAUACCCGUGUAGUCCCUGUCUCUUAUAC